This 578-nucleotide ribosomal RNA is filed under the name uncultured bacterium. RNAcentral describes it as "partial 16S ribosomal RNA". It matches the Rfam family "Bacterial small subunit ribosomal RNA", at positions 355 to 920 of the family's 1533-position model. The record is from RNAcentral.
UGGGGAAUUUUGGACAAUGGGCGAAAGCCUGAUCCAGCAAUGCCGCGUGUGUGAAGAAGGCCUUCGGGUUGUAAAGCACUUUUGUCCGGAAAGAAAUCCUUGGCUCUAAUACAGUCGGGGGAUGACGGUACCGGAAGAAUAAGCACCGGCUAACUACGUGCCAGCAGCCGCGGUAAUACGUAGGGUGCAAGCGUUAAUCGGAAUUACUGGGCGUAAAGCGUGCGCAGGCGGUUUGCUAAGACCGAUGUGAAAUCCCCGGGCUCAACCUGGGAACUGCAUUGGUGACUGGGCAGGCUAGAGUAUGGCAGAGGGGGGUAGAAUUCCACGUGUAGCAGUGAAAUGCGUAGAGAUGUGGAGGAAUACCGAUGGCGAAGGCAGCCCCCUGGGGCCAAUACUGACGCUCAUGCACGAAAAGCGUGGGGGAGCAAAACAGGAUUAGAUACCCUGGUAGUCCACGCCCUAAAACGAUGUCAACUAGUUGUUGGGGAUUCAUUUCCUUAGUAACGUAGCUAACGCGUGAAGUUGACCGCCUGGGGAGUACGGUCGCAAGAUUAAAACUUAAAUGAAUUGACGGGGUC